ACUAGGUGUGACACUGCUGAAGUGAGUUGCUAUAAUAUAUCAAACAAUGUUUAGCAACCCUUUUCAGCUCUAUCAUGCCUUAA
RNAcentral lists this microRNA precursor (83 nucleotides) under Melibe leonina. RNAcentral describes it as "microRNA mle-mir-12103 precursor". Lineage: Eukaryota; Metazoa; Mollusca; Gastropoda; Nudibranchia; Dendronotidae. The record is from miRBase by way of RNAcentral.